This is a long non-coding RNA of Bufo bufo (common toad), 157 nucleotides long. RefSeq lists it as uncharacterized. The record is from RefSeq and is a predicted model, not a curated record. NCBI's taxonomy places the organism in Eukaryota, Metazoa, Chordata, Amphibia, Anura, Bufonidae. The transcript is spliced from 3 exons.
UUCACUCUGCUCCAUUAGCCUUAGCUCUACUCUCUGACAUUACAAACACACAUUAAAGCUCAAUCUUUAUCUUACUGAUAAGAAUGUGGCUUAAAUAAGUGUUUAUGACCUCUCAGUAGUUUAGAGAUAAGGGUAAUUAGAUGAUCAGCACCAAGUG